UUUAUUGGAGAGUUUGAUCCUGGCUCAGGAUGAACGCUGGCGGCGUGCCUAAUACAUGCAAGUCGAGCGAAUGGAUUGAGAGCUUGCUCUCAAGAAGUUAGCGGCGGACGGGUGAGUAACACGUGGGUAACCUGCCCAUAAGACUGGGAUAACUCCGGGAAACCGGGGCUAAUACCGGAUAACAUUUUGAACUGCAUGGUUCGAA
RNAcentral lists this ribosomal RNA (205 nucleotides) under Bacillus cereus. RNAcentral's name for it is "partial 16S ribosomal RNA". It matches the Rfam family "Bacterial small subunit ribosomal RNA", at positions 1 to 199 of the family's 1533-position model. The record is from RNAcentral. Lineage: Bacteria; Bacillati; Bacillota; Bacilli; Caryophanales; Bacillaceae.